Molecule: long non-coding RNA, 363 nt
Organism: Hemiscyllium ocellatum (epaulette shark)
Lineage: Eukaryota; Metazoa; Chordata; Chondrichthyes; Orectolobiformes; Hemiscylliidae
Exons: 3
Source: RefSeq, a predicted model, not a curated record
GAAGUUUCUGUGUCAGCAAUCAGUAUCCCCCCGCCCCCGGCAAACGGGGGAUUCGCGGCUUUCAGUAAAUCCGGGCAGUGAAAAAAAAUACCUCUUUAAAUGUCAGCUUUCAAAUUCGAAACGACACUUUCAAUCUGAGCGGUUGGAAAAUCACAGUUUGAAUCGAACUUCUGAGGAAACGAGGGCUAUUCAUGGAAAGCAGAAUAGAGAGCAGAAAGGGAACAGUGCUGAGGGGGAAGUGUGAGAAACCUGGAGGAGACAACAGAAACAAAAUGGUGAUAAAAAACCCGAAUCCAAGGAUUAAACUCCACAAUGAAAGCAAACAACUGUUAAUGCCAAGUGUUCUAUUGGCACAGAUCAAUG